CCAGAGGGUCGGGCGGCCGCGUCAUGUGCAAACAUGCCGAGGAAAGUCCGGGCUCCACGGAACAACGGUGCCGGGUAACACCCGGCGGGGGCGGCCAGUAAUGGGCGCCUUCAGGGACAGUGCCACAGAGAGCAGACAAGCGACGGUUUCGGCCACGCGAAAAGUGAAAGGGUGCGGCAAGAGCGCACCGCGGUGCUGGCAACAGCAUCGGCACGGCAAACCCCACCGGGAGCAAGACCGAAUAGGGGCGGCAUGGGGCCUUGUGCCCCGGGGCGUGUUCCCGCUCGCCGCCCGGGUUGGUUGCUAGAGGCGGCGCGCAAGCGUCGUCGGAGAGGAAUGGUCGCCCAGUCCCUUCGGGGAUGGACAGAACCCGGCUUACAGACCCUUUGGCACC
This 394-nucleotide RNase P RNA is filed under the name Sphingomonas aerophila. RNAcentral describes it as "Bacterial RNase P class A". It matches the Rfam family "Bacterial RNase P class A". Rfam says of the family: Ribonuclease P (RNase P) is a ubiquitous endoribonuclease, found in archaea, bacteria and eukarya as well as chloroplasts and mitochondria. Its best characterised activity is the generation of mature 5'-ends of tRNAs by cleaving the 5'-leader elements of precursor-tRNAs. The record is from Rfam by way of RNAcentral. Lineage: Bacteria; Pseudomonadati; Pseudomonadota; Alphaproteobacteria; Sphingomonadales; Sphingomonadaceae.